GGUGGCUUUAGCGGAGAGGUCACACCCGUUCCCAUCCCGAACACGGAAGUUAAGCUCUCCAGUGCCGAUGGUACUGCACGGGCGACUGUGUGGGAGAGUAGGGCGCUGCCG
Molecule: ribosomal RNA, 111 nt
Filed under: Deltaproteobacteria bacterium ADurb.Bin072
Lineage: Bacteria; Deltaproteobacteria
Also listed under: 1 other name
Source: RNAcentral